Non-coding RNA from Plectropomus leopardus (leopard coralgrouper), 407 nucleotides. NCBI's taxonomy places the organism in Eukaryota, Metazoa, Chordata, Actinopteri, Perciformes, Serranidae. The record is from RefSeq and is a predicted model, not a curated record.
CACUGGUCGUCUCAGUACUCAGAUUGCUUCAGUUGAGCAACCCUCAACCAAGGAAGCAAACCACACUGAACCCAUUCCUACUACCAACCAAACUCCGCAGAUAUCAACCCAUUCCACACCAACCACAACAACUCCACAUAAAAGAGCAACCACUGAGAUUGAAUCAACCACUGGUCAUCUCAGUACAGAGAUUACCACGAUUGGGCAGUCCUCAACCAAAGAAGUGAACCAAACAAGACCUGUUACUAACCAAACUCCACAGAUAUCAUCUCUUUCCACCACCAGCAUCACAGUUACCCCAAACAAAAGAACCACCACUGCGGUCGAAUCAACUACUCAUCAUCACAGUACAAAGAUAACAUCGUUUCGGCAGCCUUCAACCAAAAAUGUGGACCAAACAAGACCUA